Molecule: long non-coding RNA, 321 nt
Organism: Camelina sativa (false flax)
Lineage: Eukaryota; Viridiplantae; Streptophyta; Magnoliopsida; Brassicales; Brassicaceae
Source: RefSeq, a predicted model, not a curated record
ACAGACACAAAAAAAAAAGAAGCCAAAACUUAUUAGGUUUUCUCUCUUCCACUCCAUCUCCUUCUAAUAUUUCACGCCAUCAGAGCUUCUCUAAAUCAAAUUUCUCUUCUAUGAGCUUGCCAUUGUUGUCGUUGUUGGUGGGUGAAGGUUUUGUCGUGUCGUCUCGAUCCGUGAAGAAGAAUAGGCGUUUGGGCGGAGCAAUUGGAGAGGAGAAGACCAAAUCGUGAUAACGAAGACUAGAUUAAGUGGCGCAGACAAAAGCUAACCCAUCAGACAAAACUAACCCAUUCCAAAGGUCGGAGACUAAGAAAUCAAAUAAGA